AUGCUUCCGGCCCUUAUGAUGAGACUCGAACACGGAAGGAUGUGCACAAAUGACAUUGCAAAUACUGCAAACAUAUGGUUCAGCUUUAUUUUCUUCUUCUUCUGCUAGCCUAUCAGAUAUCGACGUGACACUCUUUUCUACUCUCUCUACUUUUUCUUCACUAGUUUGACUAGCUGCAUAUAUUCCAUUUUUUUUUUGGAUUUUAUUCCAAAAAUGCUAUAUAGUCUUUUUUUUUUUUUUUUUUUUUUUUUUAGAAACUGGAUCUUUAUUCAUCUUAACUUUAUACAAUAGUGCAGGGAAGGCCCUGUAAAAUAAAGCAAACUAACAGGCCCGACCAAAUCUAAAGCCACUACUCUUAACUUAACUCCUAACUCCACCAAGAGCUUCUGCUUCAAAAAUCAAAGGACAAGAACCAUGUUGCCAGCAAUGAGUUCUGUCCCGAAGGAAUAAUCUGUCUACGGGUCAGAAGAUCCAAUCUGAGUCUCACUAUCUGCUGAACUUCUCUAAUAAGAGUACCUGGCGGCUUCUCCAAAGCUGAAUGAAUUCUCUGGUUCCUUUCCUUCCACACCAAAUACACUACUGCCUGAAAAAUGAGUGGUGUAUAGGAGACUUCCAAAUCUAAAUAUUUGCUAUAACUUUUUAUUAUUAACUUUUGUUAAUAGUAAAUAUGUUUGAUAUAACAAGUAACUCUGUAAAAAAAAAAGGCAUGUGAGUAUAUAUACGCUUUUGCAUAAUGCGACAAUUUACCCUAUGAUUCGAUAUUUGGAGUCUAUGAUUCGAUAUUUGGAGUAUGCGAGAAGUAUACAAUGAGUCUACCAACGUACGAGACUAGAGAUGACAAUCAUGGAUCUAGAACUCGAACUUGGUCUGUAAAAAACUGUUGUAAAACGGUAUUGGGAUGAAGUUUUCUAAAACCGUAAAUUUGCGGGCCUCGCAGAAUGGGUCUUUGCGGGACUGGGCUUUUUUCAUGUUUUCUUUUACCUAAAAAAACGAGGUAGAGAGUAAGAAGAAAACUAUUCUUGUGACUUUUUCCCUAAAAUACAUAAGGAGUUCUGAUGAUAAUGAUUCGAGUUCGGUGAUGAUGAUUCGAGUUCCGGCGAUGACGACACUAGCUCCAGCGACGACGAUUCGAGCUUUGGUGGUGUUUUGGUUUGGUUUUCUCUUUUUAUUACACACAACUAUGAAUUGCUUUAUUACAAUGUGAUAUUUCUUGUUUAAGUUGAUUGAUUUUAUUUCUAGUAGUGUGAAGUGGUGUUUUUCUUAAAUUAAAUUUGGUUACCAAUGGUGUUGUUUAUGAAAAAAAUUAGUUUUAUAUCGCGUCACUUGUAUAAUUUGGCAAAGUGAUUCACGAAUUUUUUUGCAAUCCGAAUAAUUAAAAAGAGAGAUGGUUUGAUGAAGACAUACAACACUUGAGCCAAAUUAUUACAAAGACAACAAUUCAAUCAGAUUCAAAUUUAACAAAAGCUUAUGUUGAUAACAAAAGAAGGAUUUUAACUCAAGAACGCAAGCACAAACAGAACUUUGUGGUAUUUAUUUUGAUAAGGUUUUAGUGAAGCUUAAUGAGCUCUCUUCAUUUCUCUUACACAACUCUUUUAUUUGAACAUUCAUGAAAGAAGCUGUAGCACAAGCGGUUUGCUAAGAAAGCGUCCCCCGGGACGGCCCGUGAAAGCCUAUAUAUUAUGCGGUAUGGGUUUGGGUCGCCAUUUUGAAGAUGCAGUCCGCGCGGGAUAGGCCCGUUGUGAUCCGCUCGAUAACUAAUCCGCCGCUGUACGGAAUGGGUAAACACAUCUCUAUACGGGACGUGUCAAGAGACUCUAAGUAGAACAGAGGGUUCAAACCCAAAAUGCAAAUAUGAAGAACACGUGAAGCUCAUGUGCAUGAUCUUUGUCAGUCGAUAAAAAAGAUAGAGGGCAUAAAGGGGAUUCCUCACACCUGUACUGUGCUUGUCCUCUUUGUCUGUCGUAUACGUUAUACGGGAUCAGAGGAGUGAGCGUGCGAUAAGAUCGUGACAAGAACACAUGAGGGCUGAACGUUUUGGAAGAGAGUAAGAGAUGUCGUGUCAAGAAGAAGACUCGAAACUUUCUUAACGUUUUCAAAUUAUUUUCAAAAGUAGAAAUAAAGAUAUGUUUGGUAACUAUGCAACAUUUGCUUCUAAUAGUAAACAUGAGAUAAGAUCAUUUUAUAUAUAAAUUUCUUCACUACGAUCAAAUCUACCAGAAACAGUUUGAGAGAGUAAGAGUGAAAGCAUGAGCUGAAAUCUUCUUACAACAAGAACAUAACAUAGCUAGAGAGACUCAAAACAGCCAGACAGCGAUUACCACUAAGCUAGACUCAAUGUCCUUUGAGACAAUAAGUUCACCAACAAAACCAGAGAAAGUUAACAUUCUUAGAGCAUCAUGAAAGAA
This is a long non-coding RNA of Brassica rapa (field mustard), 2405 nucleotides long. RefSeq lists it as uncharacterized. NCBI's taxonomy places the organism in Eukaryota, Viridiplantae, Streptophyta, Magnoliopsida, Brassicales, Brassicaceae. The record is from RefSeq and is a predicted model, not a curated record.